GAUGAAGAACGUAGCGAAAUGCGAUAAGUAGUGUGAAUUGCAGAAUUCAGUGAAUCAUCGAAUCUUUGAACGCACAUUGCGGCCAUAGGUAUUCCUUUGGCCACGCCUGUUCGAGCGUCAUUUACACCCUCAAGCCUAGCUUGGUGUUGGGCGCCUGUCCCGCCGUUUUCGCGCGCGGACUCGCCUCAAAGUCAUUGGCGGCGGUCGUGCCGGCCCCCUCGCGCAGCACAUUUGCGCUUCUCGGAGGCCCGGCGGAUCCGCGCUCCAGCAAGACCUUUCACGACUUGACCUCGGAUCAGGUAGGGAUACCCGCUGAACUUAAGCAUAUCAAUAAGCGGAGGA
RNAcentral lists this unclassified non-coding RNA (342 nucleotides) under soil metagenome. RNAcentral's name for it is "partial contains 5.8S ribosomal RNA, internal transcribed spacer 2, and large subunit ribosomal RNA". The stretch from base 1 to 120 matches the Rfam family "5.8S ribosomal RNA", at positions 35 to 154 of the family's 154-position model. The record is from RNAcentral.